UUUGGAGAGGAGCUCAGAUCUGAGCACAACACAUGCGUGUCAGUGUGUUGGGCAACAUGGGCUGCGUAAGGCAGCCAACGGUCUCCUUUGAUCCCAGACAGGACUCAGCCAUUUAUUUAUUCACUCACUCUUUCACUUGUUCACCCUUCACUCCAUCCUUUAUUUGCCCAGGGAGUCAGGCCCCUCGGAGUCUAAUGGGAAAGACAGGCCUAACAUCAGGUCAGGGCCCCUGUGGUUCCCAAUCACCCAUCCAUCCAUCCAUCCAUCCAUCCAUCCAUCCAUCCGUCCAUCCCCCACGUAUUGAGUGCAUCCUGAGCUCUAGAGAGGAGAGAGCCUGUCCUCAUCUCUAGGUACUCUUGGUCCACUGAGGGGAACAGAGAAGUAAACAGACAUCUGUAAACCACAUGCUUCUGUGUUCAUUGAGGCAACCACUAUUUGAGAGCCCUCCAUGAAAGGUGUCAGGACCAGGGAGAUGAAGAGGGCACACUCCUGCCUGUGGUGCACUCAGGCUGGUUGAGGACACGAAGAAAGAGUACGAAUACUCCAGCUUCAAUGCACAGACAGCUGUGAAAACUGCUGGCUGUCCCCAUGCCUUCUGCUCCCGCUUCUGGAAGGGAAGACAGGGCAGGGACCAUGUCCAGCUGCAGAAAAUCCCAGUGUUUUUCUGUGGCAUUGCCUGGUAAAGGCUGAACGUGGCUUUCGUGAGAGCUAAUCUGCCUGCCCAACCAGAUUGUGCUGUGGCUAAAAUUGCUGUGAGCUCGACAGUGCCUGAAGACUGGAGAAAACUGAGCCAUGUCUUGGAUGCUCUUGCGGGGCCUAGGGGAGUGCCAGGCCAGAAGGAGAACUGCCUGUGGACUCUCAGUAGGAAAGCAGCUAACGAGGUGAUGAGUGAGUGUCGCCUGGAAGUCUGGGGGCCAUUCCAUGUGGGUCACAUCGCCUGACCAGAGGGUUGGGUGCCUGGACAGGGCUGAGCUUGGGACUCCUUCCAGGGCCUGGCCUCAGCUGCUGGGCCUGCCGAGCAUGCCCCACAAGCACCCACGCACACAUACAAGUAUGGAGGCAGAGUGGAAGUUUGACUUUUGCAGAUCUCGUACAGCCUGGAGUAGAGAAGAGAAUUGGGAACUCUCAAUGUUGUGUGACCCUAGGCAAGUCCCUUCCCUGCCUUGUGCCUCAGUUUCCCUUUACAUACCAUGAGGAUGUUCCCAGUGUUGGUGUUUUAAUGCCUGCAGACAAGCUAAGCUCAUCAUCUGGUUCCCGGAAGAGAUCCUCCUUUUGUGGAAAGGCCACAGCCACUCUGCCACCCUGAGGCUCCCACUCCUCCUUCUCUGGAACCCUCUCCCUUGCCUGUAGGUCACGGGAAUGUCAAGAGCACCCAGGGAAGUGCCUGCUGCCAGUCAUCACUCACUGAUUAUGUGACAGCAGAGGAGCCAAGAAGCUGCUGGGAAUCGAGACACCCCCCCAUUCAGUCCCCACCAUCUCUGUCUUCAUGAGGUUCCCUGGGAGAAGCUCCUAUGUCUGGGAAUGGAAAUGUCUCCACCUGGAUAGGGACAAACAGGAGCUGGGGGCUGCAUCUUAAGACUUCUUGUCCCAUUAGUGCUGACCUCUGGAGACGGCUCCUGAAUUGUGCCCACUCCCCCACCUCCUCACCACACACAUGCUCUGGGCCGUGCGAGGCUCAGCUUGUCACGGACAAGCUAAAAUGAGGUGGCCUGAAUGCCCCUUAUCAUAGACAGCUUAUCUCCUGUGGUCACUCACCUGACAGACUCCAGAGAGCCACUCAGCGGGCCUCUCCCAGCCGCCUGCUUCUCAGCUCUGACUCUCCCUUGCCUUAAGGGGACACUGGAUUCCAGUGACCCUCCUAUUGGUCAGAGUUGGGCUGAGCACAGAGAAGGGGUAGAAUGCUCCUGGGAACUCGGAAAGCUCUGGGAUGCCAGCUUUUCCCACAUGUUCUCACUCACCCCUCUGUAAUACAGAUUCUGCAGCCCUGCCCCCCACACACACACUCCUACACCUCUGCUCUCAAAGUGAAGAAGUAGGCUAAUAUCUGUGGUACAUUUAUUUACCUACUCCCUGAGACUGCAGCUCCCUUAGUCAGUGUUGUGUCCUCCACUCAGGCUGGGGCUCCCUGAGGAUGGGGCUGUGUCUCCCCUCAGACUGGGGUUCCCCAAGGACAGGGCUGUGUCUCUCCUUAGGCUGGGGUCCCUGAGGGUGGGGCUGUGUCUCCCUGCAGAUUGGGGCUCCCUGAGGAUGGGGCUGUGUCUCCCUGAAGACUGGGGCUCCCUGAGGACAGGGCUGUGUCUCCCCUCAGGCUGGGGCUCCUUGAGGAUGGGACACUUUAAAGAAGAGAAAUUGACAGGUUGACCCUGGGGGAUCUUUGGGUCAAUAAAACAUUCUAUAGACCCUCAGUGGUCAGAC
RNAcentral lists this long non-coding RNA (2415 nucleotides) under Homo sapiens (human). RNAcentral's name for it is "HSALNT0334359". The record is from RNAcentral. Lineage: Eukaryota; Metazoa; Chordata; Mammalia; Primates; Hominidae.